GCUGGUGUGGCUCAACGGUAGGGCAGCUGACUUGUAAUCAGCAGGUUGCAGGUUCGAUUCCUAUCACCAGCUCCA
This 75-nucleotide transfer RNA is filed under the name Clostridioides difficile. RNAcentral describes it as "tRNA-Thr". It matches the Rfam family "tRNA". From Rfam's summary of the family: Transfer RNA (tRNA) molecules are approximately 80 nucleotides in length. Their secondary structure includes four short double-helical elements and three loops (D, anti-codon, and T loops). Lineage: Bacteria; Bacillati; Bacillota; Clostridia; Peptostreptococcales; Peptostreptococcaceae. The record is from RNAcentral.